UGGGGAAUUUUGGACAAUGGGGGAAACCCUGAUCCAGCCAUCCCGCGUGUGCGAUGAAGGCCUUCGGGUUGUAAAGCACUUUUGGCAGGAAAGAAACGUCGCGGGUUAAUACCCCGCGAAACUGACGGUACCUGCAGAAUAAGCACCGGCUAACUACGUGCCAGCAGCCGCGGUAAUACGUAGGGUGCAAGCGUUAAUCGGAAUUACUGGGCGUAAAGCGUGCGCAGGCGGUUCGGAAAGAAAGAUGUGAAGUCCCAGAGCUUAACUUUGGAACUGCAUUUUUAACUACCGGGCUAGAGUGUGUCAGAGGGAGGUGGAAUUCCGCGUGUAGCAGUGAAAUGCGUAGAUAUGCGGAGGAACACCGGUGGCGAAGGCAGCCUCUGGGAUAACACUGACGCUCAUGCACGAAAGCGUGGGGAGCAAACAGGAUUAGAUACCCUGGUAGUCCACGCCCUAAACGAUGUCAACUAGCUGUUGGGGCCUUUCGGCCUUGGUAGCGCAGCUAACGCGUGAAGUUGACCGCCUGGGGAGUACGGUCGCAAGAUUAAAACUUAAAGGAAUUG
RNAcentral lists this ribosomal RNA (563 nucleotides) under uncultured bacterium. Its description in RNAcentral is "partial 16S ribosomal RNA". It matches the Rfam family "Bacterial small subunit ribosomal RNA", at positions 355 to 912 of the family's 1533-position model. The record is from RNAcentral.